This 65-nucleotide transfer RNA is filed under the name bovine gut metagenome. It matches the Rfam family "tRNA". Rfam says of the family: Transfer RNA (tRNA) molecules are approximately 80 nucleotides in length. Their secondary structure includes four short double-helical elements and three loops (D, anti-codon, and T loops). The record is from RNAcentral.
GGUGUCGCCUAGCGGUUAAGGCAACGGACUUUGACUCCGUCAUCGCUGGUUCAAAUCCAGCCAUC